Molecule: ribosomal RNA, 636 nt
Filed under: uncultured bacterium
Lineage: Bacteria
Description: bacterial SSU rRNA
Rfam family: Bacterial small subunit ribosomal RNA (bases 1-538)
Source: RNAcentral
CCUACGGGAGGCAGCAGUAAGGAAUAUUGGACAAUGGGCGCAAGCCUGAUCCAGCCAUGCCGCGUGAAGGAUUAAGGCCCUCUGGGUUGUAAACUUCUUUUAUAGGGGACGAAAAAAGGGCUUUCUAGCUCGACUGACGGUACCCUAUGAAUAAGCACCGGCUAACUCCGUGCCAGCAGCCGCGGUAAUACGGAGGGUGCAAGCGUUAUCCGGAUUCACUGGGUUUAAAGGGUGCGUAGGCGGGCAGUUAAGUCAGUGGUGAAAUCUCUGGGCUCAACCCGGAAACUGCCAUUGAUACUAUCUGUCUUGAAUAUUGUGGAGGUGAGCGGAAUAUGUCAUGUAGCGGUGAAAUGCUUAGAUAUGACAUAGAACACCGAUUGCGUAGGCAGCUCGCUACACAUAUAUUGACGCUGAGGCACGAAAGCGUGGGGAUCAAACAGGAUUAGAUACCCUGGUAGUCCACGCCCUAAACUAUGAUUACUCGACAUUUGCGAUACACAGUAAGUGUUCUGAGACGAAGACAUUAAGUAAUACCACCGUACGGAAGGUACGACCGACGAGGUUAGUAACGUACGAAACGUAGUAAGUUAGUACGGACGUUAGAGACGAGCCGACGGACGACGACGAGGGAGGAGG